AUGAACCUUUGAGGGUUUGAGCUGGCGUUUAUUCGCAUGUGCUUGCCCUCUCAUCCUUUAUACACCUGUGCACUUUGAAGGGAGACAUUAGUAGACAUUCACUUGUCGAAGGUAUCUCCCUUUACACUACAUACUCUAUGAUUACUUGAUGUUUAAACGCUUAACAGCAUUUAAUUA
RNAcentral lists this unclassified non-coding RNA (177 nucleotides) under soil metagenome. RNAcentral's name for it is "partial internal transcribed spacer 1". The record is from RNAcentral.